AGGUGUGAUGAUGAGUUUACAAUAAUCUCGUUAAUCUGAUAAUUUGUGAGGAUGAUUUUAUAAUCCAUUCCAAACACACUGAGC
Molecule: small nucleolar RNA, 84 nt
Organism: Camellia sinensis
Lineage: Eukaryota; Viridiplantae; Streptophyta; Magnoliopsida; Ericales; Theaceae
Product: small nucleolar RNA U30
Source: RefSeq, a predicted model, not a curated record